AUGGCUCUGCUGUGCCUCCACAGCCAGAGGCAGAAAUGGUUCUGGAAAACCGGCAGGAGAGUCCUCUUGGGCUCAGGUCCUGUUUCCCACUCAGGCCUCAGGUUGGCCACUGUGAGAAGAGGAUACUGGUCUAGAUGGCAGGAUCCAGCACGCUCUCCUUACGCUGUUAUGGCAUUCAGAGAUAGACUGCCUUUGGACAUGGAGGUUCUUCCCCCUUCCCUGACUUUGGGGAUGGAUUCUUGCGCAGCGCUUCCUCCGCGCCCCACUCGCCCCACCAAAAACCCUUCUCGACCUGGCGACGGGGAGCUCUCCUUACCCACCGCCCACCCCAGACGCUUCCUGCGGUGCCCCCUCGUCCUCCUCCUCCUCCUGCUUCAGAAGCAGCGGCGGCAACGAGAAGGCAUUGAGCCCUUCCAAGCCCCGGGGCCGGUUUCCAGGGCAACUCUGAACGCCCGAUCCCAUUGUGACCUCCGCUCCCUCCGCGGGGAGGCAUUGCCCAGCCAUGGCUCAGCGCAGUCCGGUCCAGUCCCCGGUCAGGGGAAGCGCCAUGGAGGCGGGGAAACCCGAGGACGCCCCGCCGGCCGUGGUCACCUUCUUCCAGCCCCACGUCGGCGGCCAAGUGCUGGUGCUUUUCAGUUUGCUCAGUGGCAGCGAAGCUGUUUUAAAGAGGUUUUUACCCAAGAGUCAUCUUUCUAAGGUGAUCAUUCGUGACAACAUCAGUGUCCAGAGAGUGCACGAUAUCAAGGUACAUCUCGCUAUUGAACCUCCUUACCUGAGCCUCCUGCUUGUGUUACAUUUCAAAUGCACAAGAGAAUGUUUCUUUAGGCUGAUGAGCCAAAUAACUAUUGUGUAUCCGGGAACUUGUUUGUAUACCUCUAUCUCUUUUAUGUUCAAGAAGCUCCCUUUGUGUCAAUGGAGGAAGAAGACAUUCUUUGUGUGAAUGGAGAAAGAAGGCGUUCUGUGCACACAAUGUCCUUGCAAAUCAACUCCAUCCACAGGAAUGAGCAGAGUUGUGGAGGUGGAAAGAGCUCCACAUGGCUCCCGAACCAGGAAUACUUUGGCUGCAUGCACACAGUGGUUUAUCCCAUUUCUCCAGUGCUUCCCUGUUAAUUUCUGCAUUAUAUUUGAGCUUUCAUACAACGCAAAAGCCACUUCUGGAAAACUAAUGGAAUACAGUGCAUAUUGGGCAUUUUGUUUCCAUGUUUUUGAGCCCCCGAAAAUGUGUUUGCAGUCCCCAGUUUACCUGGAAAAUUGUGGGAGUAAAGCAAUGAAAUUUGGGGUAGUAUACUGGCAUACGUCCCCCCCCCCUGCUCUUUUCAUGGGGGAAAUAGAAGCACACAUAUGUGGAAAGGGCGGCGGCGGCAGCGGGGCAGUUAAUGACAUUAUCCAGUGACAUGCGCGUCUGAAUGCACCCCUAGGUUACACAACUGGAUUUUGUGUUCAAGCACAACAAACCCGCUUCUGACCAGGUAGAGUGGCAUGAAUUUCACACACAAGCUCUGAUUGGCUGAGUAGUUUGUAGGGCUUUUCCUUCUGUAUGUUUGCUUAUAUGUCUCUCUUCCAUGAAUGGAGAAAGACAGAACCUCUCUGUUCCUUAAUCCUCAGAUUAUGCACCGGUUUGGUUCAGCUUGCUUAGAGUGUUAUUAAGACUUUUCUCUCUGGACUUUUGUCUGUGUUUAUUUAAGUGACUUUGCUAACAGUUGCUUCCGAUUUCUUAAAGCUCAAGCACAUUGAAGAAAGCAAAAGGAAGAUGGGCAAUCUCUUUGACCAGAUGAUGAAGAAGUUUGUGCAUGACCAGCAGAAGAAAAUGAACCGCUGGAAGAAGGAAUAUGGCCACUACCAGAGAAUGCUGGAGAAGAUUGACCAGAGGGCCUGGCUCAAAGCCCACACCUCAACCUUUGCACUGCCGGAGCUAACAAAGACCAAGGAUGUCACAGGAUGGAAAAAUGUGAACCUGCCACAGCAAAACAGGCUUAGGUAACUUGAAUGACCAUGAGCUAGAGGAGUGGCUUCAUGGUUCCACUUGGCACAGAAAAUCAUCAUGAAAAAGACCCAUGCGUCCGUCCCCCCCCCCCCCCCCGUAGGCUUUCCUGCCGGCUUGUCUCAUUAGGAUAAUGGAAUUAAAGUUAAUACAAGACCUUCACGGCAUCCAUGUGGCACAAAUGUUUUUGUUGUAGGCCUUUAAUUGGAUUUUUUUUGCUGUUCAGAGGGCUUUACAUUCUUUUUGCAGGUCCAACCUUACCAUUAGGCAAAAUGCAGCAGCAGAUUUUGGGUGUUAUGGAAAAGUUGCAAAUUGUUAGCUAUUGACCCAUUUAUUGUUAUUGUAUUCUUACUGACAGGAAGGGGGAAAGGUGCUUGCGGGUUGGUUUGGAUUUUUUUGCCUCGGUUUGGCCUUGGACGCUUUGCAACUUGAUUUGGGGUGGGAGGGGGCACCAGACUGCUCUAUCUCAAGCGGCAUAAUGUCUUGGACUGUCCUGGUCUUUUGGUUCUCUACAGCCUGUGAUUCCCUGUUUACAGAUAGUUGAUUGACUAAGGCUGAGAGAGAAAUAGUGACUUGCCUAAGGUGAGCCUAGUACCAUUGGGGGGGGUAUUUGAAUCAGCUUGAUCAAUUGGAUGUUUCCAAAAGAAAAUGCAUUUGGAAAGUGCAUUGAAAUGGAACAUGCUGGGUCUGUGGGGUCCUUUUCUGCAGGUUGGUGUUCUGGUAUGCAGCUGGCCGGCAAAUUUUGCAUAGCACUACACAACACCCCCAUUCCCAAACACCUGCAUUGCAUUGCAGCCAAUGUUGUGCAUAGCACACGUUGAAGGAGACAGAAGUACCUGGGUUUAUUUAGUGUCUGUACCCUGCUCUUUAGUCACAAAGACUCCCAUGGCAGCUUACAUACAAUCAGAUAUAAUUGUAACUGUCUGCAGGCCUACAACGUAAAAUACAUGGCACACAAGGAAAGAAGUAUAGGGAUGGAAGAGGAAGAGAGCAAACCCAAGAGCUCUUAUUAAAGUAAAAAAGUAGUUCUUAUAAUGACCAACUGGAAACAGUUCAGUGGCCAGAGAUGCCUGAUGAAGCUGGUCUUAGGAACACAGGAAGCUGCCUUAUACAGAGUCAGGCCAUUGAUCCAUCUUGCUCAGUAAUGUCUACAAUGACUGGCACACAUCAUGAAUAAAUGUAUACAUCUGUAUCAUGUCUCUGCUUACCUGCCUUUCUAACUUAAACUAAAACCCCUUGAUGAUGUAGUCUUUUCUCAAUCUGCCGGACACACAAACAAUUUAGCACCCUCCUCUUCAUGCCGUGUAGGCAGCAAUAGCCCUCCAGUGGUGAGCCUCUAGGAAUCCCUGAACUUGAAUACUCUCAUACCACUCACAUAGUAAAGGUAAAGGUACCCCUGCCCGUACGGGACAGUCUUGCCAGACUCUAGGGUUGUGCGCUCAUCUCACUCUAUAGGCCGGGAGCCAGCGCUGUCUGCAGACACUUCCGGGUCACGUGGCCAGCGUGACAAGCUGCAUCUGGUGAGCCAGCGCAGCACACGGAACGCCGUUUACCUUCCCGCUGGUAAGCGGUCCCUAUUUAUCUACUUGGACCCGAAGGUGCUUUCGAACUGCUAGGUUGGCAGGCGCUGGGACCGAAGGACGGGAGCGCACCCCGCCGCGGGGAUUCAAACCGCCGACCAUGUGAUCGGCAAGUCCUAGGCGCUGAGGUUUUAC
RNAcentral lists this long non-coding RNA (3696 nucleotides) under Podarcis muralis (Common wall lizard). RNAcentral describes it as "lncRNA (ENSPMRG00000015338.1)". Lineage: Eukaryota; Metazoa; Chordata; Lepidosauria; Squamata; Lacertidae. The record is from RNAcentral.